UCUCUGGUAGUCCAGUGGUUAGAACUUGGUGCUCCCAUUCCAGGGGCCCAGGUUCAAUCUCUGGUCAGGGAA
Molecule: transfer RNA, 72 nt
Filed under: Bos taurus (domestic cattle)
Lineage: Eukaryota; Metazoa; Chordata; Mammalia; Artiodactyla; Bovidae
Also listed under: 3 other names
Rfam family: tRNA
About the family: Transfer RNA (tRNA) molecules are approximately 80 nucleotides in length. Their secondary structure includes four short double-helical elements and three loops (D, anti-codon, and T loops).
Source: Rfam by way of RNAcentral